AUGGGAAUUCUUACCCUAUCUGGCC
Molecule: non-coding RNA, 25 nt
Filed under: Mus musculus (house mouse)
Lineage: Eukaryota; Metazoa; Chordata; Mammalia; Rodentia; Muridae
Source: RNAcentral